AAUACGUUCCCGGGCCUUGUACACACCGCCCGUCAAGCCAUGGAAGUUGGGAGUACCUGAAGUUCUCUAGCAAUAGAGACCUAGGGUAAAACCAAUGACUGGGGCU
RNAcentral lists this ribosomal RNA (106 nucleotides) under uncultured bacterium. RNAcentral's name for it is "partial 16S ribosomal RNA". It matches the Rfam family "Bacterial small subunit ribosomal RNA", at positions 1365 to 1482 of the family's 1533-position model. The record is from RNAcentral.